ACUGGCGCACGGGUGAGUAACACGUAUCCAACCUGCCGAUAACUCGGGGAUAGCCUUUCGAAAGAAAGAUUAAUACCCGAUAGUAUAAUGAAACCGCAUGGUCUUAUUAUUAAAGAAUUUCGGUUAUCGAUGGGGAUGCGUUCCAUUAGGCAGUUGGUGAGGUAACGGCUCACCAAACCUUCGAUGGAUAGGGGUUCUGAGAGGAAGGUCCCCCACAUUGGAACUGAGACACGGUCCAAACUCCUACGGGAGGCAGCAGUGAGGAAUAUUGGUCAAUGGGCGCAGGCCUGAACCAGCCAAGUAGCGUGAAGGAUGACUGCCCUAUGGGUUGUAAACUUCUUUUAUAUGGGAAUAAAGUUUUCCACGUGUGGAAUUUUGUAUGUACCAUAUGAAUAAGGAUCGGCUAACUCCGUGCCAGCAGCCGCGGUAAUACGGAGGAUCCGAGCGUUAUCCGGAUUUAUUGGGUUUAAAGGGAGCGUAGGUGGACAGUUAAGUCAGUUGUGAAAGUUUGCGGCUCAACCGUAAAAUUGCAGUUGAUACUGGCUGUCUUGAGUACAGUAGAGGUGGGCGGAAUUCGUGGUGUAGCGGUGAAAUGCUU
RNAcentral lists this ribosomal RNA (598 nucleotides) under uncultured Bacteroidales bacterium. RNAcentral's name for it is "bacterial SSU rRNA". It matches the Rfam family "Bacterial small subunit ribosomal RNA", at positions 94 to 691 of the family's 1533-position model. The record is from RNAcentral. Lineage: Bacteria; Pseudomonadati; Bacteroidota; Bacteroidia; Bacteroidales.